RNAcentral lists this non-coding RNA (29 nucleotides) under Rattus norvegicus (Norway rat). The record is from RNAcentral. Lineage: Eukaryota; Metazoa; Chordata; Mammalia; Rodentia; Muridae.
AUGGACCUACCCAAGCAGAUAAGCAAGUA